AGCAGCCGCGGUAAUUCCAGCUCCAAUAGCGUAUAUUAAAGUUGUUGCAGUUAAAAGCUCGUAGUUGAAUUUCGAGAUCGGCUUACUGGUCGUGCUUUUGUACGUACUGGUAUAAUCGGUUUCUCCUUUCUGACGAACUUUAAUGCCAUUAAUUUGGUGUUUUAGGGAAUCAGGACUGUUACUUUGAAAAAUUAGAGUGUUAAAGCAGGCUCACGCUUGAAUACAUUAGCAUGGAAUAACGGAAUAGGACGUUUGAUUCUAUUUUGUUGGUUUCUAGGAUCGACGUAAUGAUUAAUAGGGAUAGUUGGGGGCAUUAGUAUUCAAUUGUCAGAGGUGAAAUUCUUGGGUUUAUUGAAGACUAACUACUGCGAAAGCAUUUGCCAAGGGAUGUUUUCAUUAAUCAAGAACGAAGUUAGGGGAUCGAAGACGAUCAGAUACCGUCGUAGUCUUAACCAUAAAACUAUGCCGACUA
This 472-nucleotide ribosomal RNA is filed under the name uncultured Glomus. Its description in RNAcentral is "SSU rRNA". It matches the Rfam family "Eukaryotic small subunit ribosomal RNA", at positions 569 to 1048 of the family's 1831-position model. The record is from RNAcentral. Lineage: Eukaryota; Fungi; Glomeromycota; Glomeromycetes; Glomerales; Glomeraceae.